Molecule: ribosomal RNA, 123 nt
Filed under: Pteropus alecto (black flying fox)
Lineage: Eukaryota; Metazoa; Chordata; Mammalia; Chiroptera; Pteropodidae
Source: RNAcentral
GUCUACGGCCAUGCCACCCUGAACACGCCCAAUCCCAUCUGAUCUUGGAAGCUAAGCAGGGUCGGGCCUGGUUAGUAUUUGGAUGGGAGACCACCUAGGAAGGCCAGGUGUAUGCUGUAGGCA